RNAcentral lists this ribosomal RNA (161 nucleotides) under Krascheninnikovia ceratoides. Its description in RNAcentral is "23S ribosomal RNA". It matches the Rfam family "5.8S ribosomal RNA". From Rfam's summary of the family: 5.8S ribosomal RNA (5.8S rRNA) is a component of the large subunit of the eukaryotic ribosome. The record is from RNAcentral. Lineage: Eukaryota; Viridiplantae; Streptophyta; Magnoliopsida; Caryophyllales; Amaranthaceae.
ACUCUCGGCAACGGAUAUCUCGGCUCUCGCAUCGAUGAAGAACGUAGCGAAAUGCGAUACUUGGUGUGAAUUGCAGAAUCCCGUGAACCAUCGAGUCUUUGAACGCAAGUUGCGCCCGAAGCCUUCUGGCUGAGGGCACGCCUGCCUGGGCGUCACGCAUC